ACAUUUCCUGUAGCAAUAUGGGGAAUGUUUAGCAGCGAAAGGGUGCGUAACACGUGGGUAAUCUGCCAUGAAGUUGGGAAUAACUCGCUGAAAGGCGAGCUAAUACCGAAUGUGAAAAUUGGGAGGCAUCUCUCGAUUUUUAAAGUUGGGGACCGUAAGGCCUGACGCUUCAUGGUGAGCCCGCGGUCUAUCAGCUAGUUGGUGAGGUAACGGCUUACCAAGGCUAAGACGGAUAGCUGGUCUGAGAGGACGACCAGCCACACUGGAACUGAGACACGGUCCAGACACCUACGGGUGGCAGCAAUCGAGAAUUUUUCUCAAUGGGGGAAACCCUGAAGGAGCGACGCCGCGUGGGGGAUGAAUGGCUUCGGCCCGUAAACCCCUGUCAUUUGCGAACAAAUUGCUUCACCUAACACGUGAAUCAUUGAUUGUAGCGAAAGAGGAAGGGACGGCUAACUCUGUGCCAGCAGCCGCGGUAAUACAGAGGUCCCAAGCGUUGUUCGGAUUCACUGGGCGUAAAGGGUGCGUAGGUGGUGAGGUAAGUUUGAUGUGAAAUCUCCGGGCUCAACCCGGAAAUGGCAUUGAAUACUAUCUUGCUAGAGGAGUGGAGGGGGGGACUGGAAUACUUGGUGUAGCAGUGAAAUGCGUAGAUAUCAAGUGGAACACCAGUGGCGAAGCGAGUCCCUGGACACUUCCUGACACUGAGGCACGAAAGCUAGGGGAGCAAACAGAUUAGAUACCCUGGUAGUCCUAGCCCUAAACUGUGCACGUUUGCU
RNAcentral lists this ribosomal RNA (776 nucleotides) under uncultured Verrucomicrobiota bacterium. RNAcentral's name for it is "bacterial SSU rRNA". It matches the Rfam family "Bacterial small subunit ribosomal RNA", at positions 70 to 821 of the family's 1533-position model. The record is from RNAcentral. Lineage: Bacteria; Pseudomonadati; Verrucomicrobiota.